GCUAGGUGUGGUGGCACGCACCUGUAGUCCCACCUACUGUGGAGGCUGAGGCGGGAGGAUCACUUGAGCCUAGGUGCUCUGGGCUGCAGUGAACUGUGACCAUCAGGUGUUUGCACUAAAUUUAGCAUCAAUAUAGUGAUCUCCCAGGAGCAGGGAACCACCAGAUUGCCUAAGAAGAGGUGAACCAACCGAGGUCAGAAAUGGAGCAGGUCAAAGUUCCAGGGCUGAUCAGUAGUGGAAUGGUGCCUGUGGAUAACCACUGCACUUCAGCCUGGGCAACAUAGUGAGACCCUCUUUUAU
Pongo abelii (Sumatran orangutan) is the source of this 300-nucleotide unclassified non-coding RNA. It matches the Rfam family "Metazoan signal recognition particle RNA". From Rfam's summary of the family: The signal recognition particle (SRP) is a universally conserved ribonucleoprotein. It is involved in the co-translational targeting of proteins to membranes. The record is from Ensembl. NCBI's taxonomy places the organism in Eukaryota, Metazoa, Chordata, Mammalia, Primates, Hominidae.